RNAcentral lists this ribosomal RNA (46 nucleotides) under Dendrobium moniliforme. RNAcentral describes it as "partial 26S ribosomal RNA". Lineage: Eukaryota; Viridiplantae; Streptophyta; Magnoliopsida; Asparagales; Orchidaceae. The record is from RNAcentral.
GUGACCCCAGGAUGGGCGAGGCCACCCGCCGAGUUUAAGCAUAUCA